UAACACGUAAGAAAUCUGCCUAUCAGAGGGGAAUAACAGUGAGAAAUCACUGCUAAUACCGCAUAUGCCAUAGGGUUCGCAUGAACCUAGUGGGAAAGGAGCAAUCCGCUGAUAGAUGAGCUUGCGUCUGAUUAGCUAGUUGGUGGGGUAAAGGCCUACCAAGGCAACGAUCAGUAGCCGGACUGAGAGGUUGAACGGCCACAUUGGGACUGAGAUACGGCCCAGACUCCUACGAGAGGCAGCAGUCGGGAAUAUUGCGCAAUGGAGGAAACUCUGACGCAGUGACGCCGCGUAUAGGAAGAAGGUUUUCGGAUUGUAAACUAUUGUCGUUAGGGAAGAGAAAGGACAGUACCUAAGGAGGAAGCUCCGGCUAACUACGUGCCAGCAGCCGCGGUAAUACGUAGGGAGCGAGCGUUAUCCGGAAUUAUUGGGUGUAAAGGGCGCGUAGACGGGAAAGCAAGUUAGUUGUGAAAUCCCUCGGCUUAACUGAGGAACUGCAACUAAAACUACUUUUCUUGAGUGCAGGAGAGGUAAGUGGAAUUCCUAGUGUAGCGGUGAAAUGCGUAGAUAUUAGGAGGAACACCAGUGGCGAAGGCGACUUACUGGACUGUAACUGACGUUGAGGCACGAAAGUGUGGGGAGCAAACAGGAUUAGAUACCCUGGUAGU
RNAcentral lists this ribosomal RNA (668 nucleotides) under uncultured bacterium. Its description in RNAcentral is "bacterial SSU rRNA". It matches the Rfam family "Bacterial small subunit ribosomal RNA", at positions 111 to 794 of the family's 1533-position model. The record is from RNAcentral.